RNAcentral lists this unclassified non-coding RNA (169 nucleotides) under uncultured Pisolithus. RNAcentral's name for it is "sequence contains ITS1". Lineage: Eukaryota; Fungi; Basidiomycota; Agaricomycetes; Boletales. The record is from RNAcentral.
UCGAAACUCGAAAGGCGUGGAGGGGGACCUUUACUGGGUCCUUCGAAGCCCUUUUUACUUUGUCCACACCUCUGUGCACCCCGUUCGCGUGAGGUUCUUCGGAACCUGCGCGAUACUAUCUCGAACUCGUAUGUCUACAGAAUGUAACCUAGCGUUGGAAAAGAAAAUA